GGUUAAGCGACUAAGCGUACACGGUGGAUGCCCUGGCAGUCAGAGGCGAUGAAGGACGUGCUAAUCUGCGAAAAGCGUCGGUAAGGUGAUAUGAACCGUUACAGCCGGCGAUGUCCGAAUGGGGAAACCCAGUGCAAUUCGUUGCACUAUCGUUAACUGAAUACAUAGGUUAACGAGGCGAACCGGGGGAACUGAAACAUCUAAGUACCCCGAGGAAAAGAAAUCAACCGAGAUUCCCCCAGUAGCGGCGAGCGAACGGGGAGCAGCCCAGAGUCUGAAUCAGCUUGUGUGUUAGUGGAACGGUCUGGAAAGUCCGACGGUACAGGGUGAUAGUCCCGUACACCAAAAUGCACAGGUUGUGAACUCGAAGAGUAGGGCGGGACACGUGGUAUCCUGUCUGAAUAUGGGGGGACCAUCCUCCAAGGCUAAAUACUCCUGACUGACCGAUAGUGAACCAGUACCGUGAGGGAAAGGCGAAAAGAAC
Molecule: ribosomal RNA, 484 nt
Filed under: Klebsiella aerogenes
Lineage: Bacteria; Pseudomonadati; Pseudomonadota; Gammaproteobacteria; Enterobacterales; Enterobacteriaceae
Also listed under: 2 other names
Description: partial 23S ribosomal RNA
Rfam family: Bacterial large subunit ribosomal RNA
Source: RNAcentral